RNAcentral lists this long non-coding RNA (23992 nucleotides) under Hordeum vulgare. RNAcentral's name for it is "long non-coding RNA (HVUL_LNC007558)". The record is from RNAcentral. Lineage: Eukaryota; Viridiplantae; Streptophyta; Magnoliopsida; Poales; Poaceae.
UCUGCUGCCAAACUAGGCCUUCCACUUUCAGUGUAGUGUCAAAAACGUUCUUAUAUUGUGGGACGGAGGGAGUACAACAUAAGUUCAACACAACAACCAUAAGCUAAGCCCAUUGCUGAAAACAUGGGAAUGCUCAUUAAACCAAAUGUACCAGCACCAAACUACAGAUAAUGAGUUAUAUAAACCUAUUUCCAGAAACAUAAUAUGGGAUAAUUACAUUUUUUAAUUUACAGUUGAAGAUCCCUACACAUACUCCACGAUAUGUGCAAUGCACUGAUUGGGAUGAAAACCUGCAGAUUCAGAUGUAGAAUAGUUUUUGUUUAGCCGAGCAAUGAUAUAGGUCAGUUGACAACUCUCCUUUUGAUAAAUUUAAAGAAAGCUUCGCUUCAGCAACUAAUACCUCAGAUGGCUUCAAGAACUUACACUUCCCAUAAGUUAAUUGCAUGAAUUCAGUGGAAUUCUUUGGGCUUGCUUCUCGAGGUUUUUCCACAUUUCAUCUGCAGAUGUAAAACAUGGUAAGAAACUCGAAUAAUCUUAUCAGCUAAUGAAGAUAAUCAAUGAAAGGGGCCACUUAGGUCAUGGAUAUUUGAGAAUACACAGGAAACAAAAAGCAUAUCCAUUAUUGUGUGGUAAAUACAAAUAUUCUAAACAUCAUACCUGAUUCUGAUGCUAAAUUUAGUAAGAGCACUUCAAAAAAAAAAGAUUGUAAUAAGGAGUAAAGAAUAUAUUAUUCUCUUCGUUCUUCCUUGAAAUAUUAAACAAGCUCUCAUUAACUAAUUGGCAUAAUCCCAAUUGUAAGAACACUAAAAAGCUACUCCAUCCCCAAAAUGAAUGGCGCUUUUGGCUUCUCAAUCUUCAGUGUAUUUUUUUGAAAGGAGGCAAAAGAUUUGCCUCAUAUAUUAAAUAAGGUAGAAGAGAGUUUGAUACAACACACAUGUUACGGCAUGCCAAUUAUUCUCGCAAUAAAAAAGACCCUAGUUUCUUUGCCCCGACGUUGAUCCAAAGGUUUGCUUCGUCCACGAUUAAGUUGAGCAAGAUUGGCGGGGGCGCGCUCUUAUGACGAAACACGUGCAUUUCGCUCGUUCCAGAUGACCCACGACACAAGCAUGGUGAUCGAAGCCUUGGCUUUUCGGUCAGCGGUGCCCCUGGCGCUGAUGCCGGCCCACCACACCUCCACGGAGUCAAACAAGUGUCAUGAAGUGUCCAUAUCGUGCAUGCGAAAUUUGUGGAUGACCAGUCUUCACAACCUGAGAGUGAAAUGACACUGGAAGAAAAGGUGAGUACCACAUUCCUGCACACCCCUGCACAGGGGGCAAGAACCGCAAUUUGGCCAGCCCCGUCUCUCCAGUCUGUCGGUCAGUCUGUCGGCCGUCCAGAUCCUAUCUUGGAGCGCUAGCCAAGCGAAGAACUUGACCUUCGGAGGGGCCCAAGUCUUCCAAACAAUUCAGUCCAUAGGGGAGAGGACCAUUCCUAGAAACUGCGCCUUAUAGGCAGAGGUCGCGCAGUAAAGACCCGAGACUAUGUGCUUCAAAAGGAUGUCAUCCUCCAUGAGCAAAUCGAGAUGUACCUCAUGCACAAGCAUCCAAAGGGUGAAGAACUGAAUAACAUGCUCGGUGGUGACCAUUGUGGGCGGUUUGAUCAUGAGGAUCCAUGCGUUCUCCUUCAGUGCCUCCCGCACUUUCCAAUGCUUCCGCGCGGACGCCUCAUAGAUGAGCGGAGCAAUGUCUUUGGGUUUGCGUCCGAGCAGCCAGGGAGAGUCCCAAAAUGGUCUUUGCACCAUUCCCGACCGUGAUGAUGGUGCAACCAUAGAAGAAAUUAAGAUCAUCAUCAUCACACGGGUUGCCACGCCCUACCCACAGCUCUGUGGGCUCCUUCCAUUCGUACCAAGGCCACCACAAACGCGAGGCCCGAGCGAACUUGUCAGUGUUAAGGACCCCCAGCCCACCAUAGGCGAGUGGCCGGCUGACGAUGUCCCAGUUGACCUUGCAUUUCGCUCCGGUAGUCUUAUCCGAGCCAGACCAAAGGAAGGCUCUUUCGAGUUUGUCAAUACUUUGGAGAAUGGAGGUUUGGAUUAUCAAUGGCGUGAUGAAGUAGACCACUUGGGAGGCCAGGACCGACUUGACCAGAGCAGCACGCCCAAUGGUGGUGAUGUUUUGGCCGUCAUAUGUUGUCAAUCUGCUUGCCACUUUAUCCACAAGAAAUUGCAGGUCAACGAGCUUUAACUUCCACACGGAGAGUGGAAGCCCCAAAUAGCGCAUCGGAAAUGAAGUCCGAACAGCCGGCAGCCCCUGGGUGAUGCGUCCCAAGUCCAGAUUAUCGCAGCGAAUGGGAACCAUGGAGCUCUUAUGGAAGUUAGUGCACAGCCCGGUGACCUCACCAAAACCCCGCAAGAUGGCAGCGAGGUUAUCCACAUCUCUUUUGAUCGGAGCAAUAAACACCGCCGCUUCAUCCGCAUAGAGAAAAGUGCGCACCAUGACCCCUCUGCCCCGAAUUUUAUGAAGCAGCCCCUUCCUUGUUGCCACGUCCAGAAUAUGCUUCAGAGGGUCAAUUGCAAUGACAAAAAGGAGGGGGGAGAGGGGGUCCCCUUGGCGUAGACCCAUGCCAUGCUUGAUGGGGUCACCCGCCACCCCAUUGAGGAGGAUCCUCGAAGAUCAGGAAUAGAGGAGAGCAGCAAUCCACUCCCGGAAUUUGUUAGGGAAGUCUUCAAUGUAUGACUUUGAUUGCAAAUAGUAUGUCUACAAAAUUAGUAUAAAGCCAUGGUAUUUUGCAAGAUAAAUACAAGAUACCAUUCGUAUCCGCUUAAUCCAUACUUUGGUGCAUAUUAGUGGUCAAAGUAGUGCAUCAAAGACCGCGAACAGUCAAGUAUGCCUUACAUUUUGGAGGGGGUAACUUAGGUGUGGCAAGUUGUGGCAUGCAACCACGCAUGCCCAAAGUAACAUGCAACCACAAAUAAGUACUGCGUCCAUUUCAAGAUAUCUGUUUUCAGCCUACCAUGCGCACAGGUCAAGAAAAGAAUUCAUCAAAACUGAUUGUGCAUUUAUGCAUACCUUGGUGAAAUGAUAUGCUGCGACAAUUUAACAUCUACCAGUACAAUUUUCAUACAAAUCCAAAUGGUAGUGUGUAUUAGUGGCCAGAGUUUUUAAAAUUUUGACUGCACAUUCCAAGGCAAGAUCUAUUGACAACAGAGGUAAUAUUGUUAGGAAAGCAAUUUAUCUUUAUUGAAGGCCCAACGAGCAUAUAUAUAUUGCACAAGCCUUGAGGUGUAAGGAAAGUAAACAUAGACUAAUAAGGACUCCUAGACUAAUACUAAUACUUCCCCCGUGAAAACCGACACAUCAAGAGAAGAUGGGUUGUCAAAAGAUGACACAUCAAGAGAAUGAAGCAUUGCUUAAAGAAUCAUGGCCCGUGAAAACCGACGACAAAAAAAGCUCGGUGGCAAGAGAAUGGGCUUAGAUCAACAAUGCAAAGAGAGGCCACAAAAAUCCUAUUGAGAGGACAAUGACCAGAAAAAAGGCUGACGGACAAAAAUUUGAUGGACUCACAAAAAACAACUAGAAAGUGCAACACUGGACAAUGACAUGAGAAACACAAAAUAUCAACGGACUUAUUGGACGCAGCGGAAAAUAUAGAAAACUAGAAAACAACUAGCGAGAAGAGCAUGCAACACCAGACAAAGGUGCAUAAGCAUGCAACACUGGACAAAGGACGAAACAACCACAUUGGAUUUUUUUAAGCUAGCCGCUAACGGGAAGGACUAAUGGUAAUUAAGAGAACAGCAAACAGAGAUGUGGUUCAUUGUUUAGCAGCAACCAGCGCAGACAUGCAUGCAGCAGUAGCCCGCGUAGCAGAAGAUAGCAGCAGCUAUGCACACAGAAGCAAAGCUGCACAUGCCGCACGAAGGUAGCACGCAGCAGCAACGUGCGGAGCAGAGGCAGCGGCGGCCAAGAGGAGCACCACGUAGCAGGAACGUCAUGCUACUUGCAAGGAACGGUAACAGGACCAUCACGUAGCAGCAGGAACUGCUGCCCACACCGAAGCAGGGGUGAGCAGUCACACGCCCACGCAGCUGUAACGCGCCGGGCAGAUCGCGGGGCUGGUGGUGUCGUGGAGCAGCAGCGGCCGCCAGAUUGGAACGACAGCGGAAGGCAAGAUCGACCCAGAGAAGAACAAACCAAUUGAGGAAAAAAAAUAGUGGAUCUUAAGGACGAGUUGCAGCGUCCGGAGACCUAAACCUAGGCUCUAAUACCAUGUUAGGAAAGCAACUUAUUUUUAUUGAAGGCCCAAGGGGCAUAUAUAUAUAUAUAUAUUACACAAGACUUGAGAUGCAAGGAAAGUAAACAUAGACUAAUAAGGAUUCCUAGACCAAUACUAAUACUUCCUAACAAAUAUCACGAAUAAUAAAGUACUACCUCCAUCUUAUAUUUUAGGACGGGGGUAGUAUUAUGUUGGCAAGGUUUAGUUUGUUUUAGUGGUCAGUGUUUUAAAAGUUUGACUGCACAUUCCAAGGCGAGAUCUAUUGGCAACAGAGAUAGUAUCACGAAUAAUAAAGUAUUAUGUUGGCAAAUAGUCAGGGUAAGGUACACUGCAACUAUCAUUUAAUAAAUAACAUCACAAUAAAAGAGUGGAGCGGAACAUGCCUUUAAAUAUGUGCAACAGAUGAUGUCAUUAUGUAUUAGCCAUGGUAUAUUUUUUAACAAGCUGCUCAUAUAAUGGAAGAUGAUUCUUAGAAACAAAGACCCUGAACCUGUAAGCAGAUGAGAACAAGAUAUAUCAAAGGUUUAAUAGUUAAUUGUCUGUUAAGUCCUGAGCACAAUAAAUAAUGAAGAUUACAACACAUGCAGUUUUACCCUUCAAGAAGUGUGAGUCGCCCUGGAGAAGAAAACAGUUUCGCUAUUGCUUCAAGUGAGUCUUUGAUGUGCAUGGUUUUCAAUUUUAAGGCCUUCAUAAAUUCAACAAACUCUCCAUACUCUGCAGUACUGAGCUUUUCUCGAGCCUAGUAAAAAUAUUCAAAGUUAAGGAUUAUUAUCACAUACAUGAGUGCAACAAUAAACAUACUAACAAGAUAGCACUUACUCCGCAAAGCGCAAGACAAAAUCAAAUUACAGAGAGCAAGCGCAAGCAGCAUACCAACUUCAAGAAGGCCGGUCCAGUAGUAGAUUCCGGGCCACCACAUCUUUCUUGAAUAGCCUCAUUCUUUUCACAUGCUUGUUCAAUGGUACUUCUUUUCGAUGGAGGUGUAGAUUGUUGACCUUGGUUUCCAGUCAAAGCUCUCGACUCAACAUUAUGUUUCAAUUGUGAAGAGACAUCUGCUAUUUUAGCCUUCUUAAGUCUCAUAGACUUUAAGGCAUGUUCCUUCAAUUGUCCAUGCAUGGCCGCAUUAUCGAUCAAAUCAACAACCUGAGAAUCCUGAGAAAUUUGGCCCCUUGAGGAUACGUGCUGUGAAGAUGUGGAACAGCCAUGUUUCAUAGGAAGGGUGGUGCGAUUGGCAGGAGUGAUCUGGGUAAACUUCAUAUAGUUGUUUUUUCUGGUGGUUGCAUUCAAUGAUACUGUAGUUCCCCGGUGCCCAUUUACUGCUGUGGCAGGCUAGCAAGAGAUAGAAUACCAUCUAUAAACCGGAAGUACUAAACAGAAUACUGAUUAUCAAUGUGAAUGCAAAGGAUAUAGACAUACCGAGUCAGAUACAAUCUUCUGCGGCAGACAUUUGUCUGCAGGCGGUGUAACACUAUCUGCAUUUUUUUCAAUUCUUAAAUGGUAUAUAUAAAAUAUAAAUAAAGUGUAUUAAGUUUUUUCAAAAGUCAAACAUGCACAGCCCAAAUACAAUAUACACUCCCUCCAUUCCGAAAUAUAAGGUGUAUUAAGUUUUUUUAAAGUCAAACAUGUGCAUGUUUGACCAAGUUUUUAGAAAAAAAUAUCAAUAUCUAUCGUACCAAAUUUGUAUUGUUGGAUCCAUCACGAAAAGUAUUUUCAUAUUUUAUUUAUUCUCAAUUGUAUGAACCAUCGAAUUAAAGCCGGAUGGAUGAAGUGGCGUCAAGCUUCUCGCAUUCUCUGUGACAAGAGGGUGUCACAAAAGCUAAAAGACAAGUUCUAUAGGACGGCCCUUCGACCCGCAAUGUUGUAUGGUGCUGAGUGUUGUCAGACUAAAAGUCGACAUGUGCAACAGGUAGGUGUGGCGAAGAUGCACAUGUUGAGAUGGAUGUGUGGCCACACAAGGAAGGACCGAAUCCGGAAUGAUGAUAUACGAGAUAGAGUUGGGGUAGCGCCAAUUCAAGAGAAGCUUGUCCAACAUCGUCUGAGAUGAUUUGGGCUUAUUCAACGCAGGCCUCCAGAAGCCCCAGUGCAUAGCGGACAGCUAAAGCAUGCUGAUAAUGUCAAGAGAGGUCGGGGUAGACCGAACUUGACAUGGAAAGAGUCCAUAAAAAGAGAUCGAAAGGAUUGGAGCAUCACCAAAGAACUAGCCAUCGACAGGGGGCAAUGGAAGCUGGCUAUCCAUGUGCCAGAACCAUGAGUUGGUCGCGGGAUCUUAUGGAUUUCACCUCUAGCCUACCCCAACUUGUUUAGGACUAAAGGCUUUGUUGUUGUUGUACAUAUUUUCUAUUGUAUAUGUUGAUAUUUUAUUCUAUAAUCUUGGUCAAACAUACAUAAGUUUGACUUGCACGAAAACUGAUGCACCUUAUAUUAUGGAACAGAGGGAGUAGUAAUUAAACACAGCACUUCAUAAGCAUAUAAACCAGAACUGCAAGAAAUGUCAUGUUGUUCUUUUCCAUUGUUGUACUGUACAGAAUGGACCAACCUAUAAUCAGCAUUCAACAGCCGGUUUAAACUUGUGGUGGUUGACUUCCGCUUUCGGAUUCGUGUCCAACGGGAUAAGCGCACCAAAGUUGCUAGAACAAAAUGGUGGAAGCUCGGGGGAGGGGGCAGCUCAGGCUUUCAAGGAGAAGGUUAUCAAGGAGGGCUCUUGGGAGGAAGGAGGCGGAGAAGGUUAUCAAGGAGGGCUCUUGGGAGGAAGGAGGUGAUGCAAACAAUAUGUGAAUGAAGAUGGCGACUUGAAUUCAAAAGGUGGCUUCGAAGGAGUUUAGGUGACCAGGGGAAGUAGAAGCGGAGAUAACGAUGCCUGGUGGUAAAACGAUAAUGUCGAGAAGGCUAUUAAGAAGAAAGACUGUUUCAGACGCCUAUACUUGGAUAGGAGUGCGGACAACAUAAAGAAGUACUAGGUGGCAAAGAAGACCACAAAGCGAGUUGUGAGUGAAGCAAGGGGUUAGGCAUAUGAGGACCUCUACAAGCGUUCAAACACAAAGGAAGGUGAAAGGGGCAUCUACAAGAUGGCCAAGAUCCAAGAGAGGAAGACGAGGAUGUCAACCAAGUCAAAUGCAUCAAGUAGGAGCGGGUUGGCUUUUGGUGAAGGACGUAGAAAUCAAGCAUAGAUGGUGAGAGUACUUCGACAAAGUGUUCAAUGGAAAGAAUGAGAGCUCUCCAAAUUGAGCAAGACGACUCUUUUGAUGUUACCAACAGAAGUUUUGUGCGACAAAUCCAGGAGUCUACGGUCAAGGCGGCUUUGGAAAGGAUGAAAGGAGGCAAGGCGAUGGGCCCUGAUUGUUUCCCCAUUGCGGUACGGAGAGGCCUUGGAGACAUGGUGAUAGUAUGACUAACUUAGUUUUUCAGCCUCAUUUUUGGUCAAACAAGAUGUUCGAAGGAAUGGAGGCAGAGUAUAGUAGUACCAAUCUUUUUUUUAAACAAUAGUACCAAUCUUCAAGAACAAGGGGGAUGUUCAAAGUUGUACUAAUUACCGUGGAAUUAAGCUGAUGAGCCAUGAAGCUAUGGGAGAAAGUCAUUGAGCACCGCUUAAGAAGAAUGACAUGCAUGACCAAGGAAUAUACAAGGAAAUAUCCCAUGGUGUAUGCUCUCUGCGGAUGAUGUGGUGCCAGUUGACGAUAGUCAAACCAGGGUUGAUACAAAGUUAAGUUGUGGAGACAAACUUUAGAAUCAAAAGGUUUUAGUCUUAGUAGAACUAAAACUGAGUACAUGAGGUACGGUUCCAGUAUCACUAGGCACGAGGAGGUCAGCCUUGAUGGACAUGUGGUACCUCAGAAAGAUAUCAGUCGAUAUUUGGGGUCAACAUCGCAAAAGGAUGAUGAUGUCGAUAAAGAUGUGAGCCAUUGAAUCAAAGCGGAUGGAUGAAGUGGCGCCAAGCUUCUGGAGUCCUUUGUGCCAGGAGAGUGCCACAAAAGCUAGAAGGCAGGCUCUAUAGGACGGCGAUUCGAUCUACGAUAUUGUAUGGCGCAAAAUGUCGGUCAACUAAAAGAUAACAUGUCCAACAGCUAGGUGUAGUAGAGACGCGCAUGUUGAGAUGGAUAUAUAUGUGAUAUAGUUGGGGUAGCACCGAUCGAAGAGAAGCUUGUCCAACAUCAUUUGUGAUUGUUUGGGCAUAUACAACACAGGCCUCCAGAAGCGUCAGUGCAUAGAGCACGGAUAAGGCGUGCUAAUAAUGUCAAGAGAGAUCGGGGUAGACCAAACUCGACAUGGGAGGAGUCUGUACAGAGAGAUCUGAAGGCCUAGAAUAUCACCAAAGAAUUAGCCAUGGAAAGGGGUGUGUGGAAGUUACCUCUCCACGUGCCAGAAAUAUGACUUGGUUUCGAGAUCUUAUGGUUUUGAACUCUAGCCUACCCAACUUGUUUGGGACUAAAAGGCUUUGUUUUUGUUGUUGUUAUGCAGAAGUGGGUUGUAAAGAGACUCUUGCAGUAUCAUACAAAAAAGGUGAUGAUAUUAUGACAACAUGAUGCAUGACUUCGCAUGCAAAACCAAGCGAUGGGACCAUGCGUAGAAAUUAGAACAUGUAGGCACAAUUUGAGUCAAACUUUAAAAGAGGUACAAGUAUUAUUCUUGUUGAACCGUUAUGGGCUGUCUGGCCCGUCUCACUUAAGCCCACAAGGCCCAGCCCUUGAGAAGACCUAGAAGGUGGAGCUCCCAGUCCCUCCCUUGAGAGCCAGCCGCCACAGCAGCCACAACACCACACGGGAGCAACCAGGAAAAGGUUGUCCCAUCGCGAGGUAGUCCUCCCCCCUUCCCGUUCUACAUGGUAUCAGAGGCCAGCGACGGCGGGGCCUGAGGAGACGGCGGUGACGUCUGGCGAGGUGGCGGCGGAUUUGGGCGGCGUCCGGCACAGCGGCGGCAGAUCGGCGUGGCUGCGCAGGAGGUGCGGCUCAUUGGCUGCACGGCGGGAAGGAGAGGUGGAGCUGCUGUGAUGCGCGGCAGAGGAAGGAGGAGACAGCUGAGGAGCUGGUUGGUCUCCUCGAGAGUGGAGCUUUCCCAAAGAUCUUGUACCUCUUGCUGCGGCUGCUGCUUGCUCCUCAGCGUGGCGCGCUGUGGUGCAGCGGGAGGAGAAGAGGAGAACGGUAGUGGAGAAGGGCAGCUCCUUGUUGUGCUGCAGUGUGAGCUGGAGAACUGCUGAGGGGGUUGGCUGCUGUUGGAGGCCAAGAUCCUCUGAAACUGCUGCUGUUUGCAGAGGAAGGAGGAAGAGACCUGCUGCUGUUUGCAGCGGAAGGAGGAAGAGAACUGCUGCUGGAGGAAGCGGCUGUGGUUGCUGCUUGCACUUGGGUGCUGCUGCUAGCCAAGGGGCGUAAAGGGACCAACUGUGCAGUUGUAGGGUUGUGCUGCUGAGGGCUGCAGUUGCUGGUUACCGUAUCGGAGAUGGCUGAACCAAAUGCGCUUGCUGAGGCUUUCGAGAAGCUUGCUAAGAUCCUCGCAGAGUCCGACUCUGGGGCCAUCGUUCCUCGACAAGAAGUGGCUCAGAAGCUCGAAAUGUCACCCCUGGACAUGAAGUUGGAGGGGGCCACAAAUUACUUGAGUUGGUCCAGGAGGGCAUUGUUGGCUGUAGAACAGAAGGAACUUGAUGGGCACUUAUUGGGUACCAUUGAUGAACCAGGAGACAAGAAUACCGCGGAGGGAAAGAGGUGGAAGGUCAUAAACUCUGUGCUCGUUGGCUGGUUGUUUAACUCAGUGGUGCCCUCCAUUGAACGCUCUGUGGAGGGACUAUCCACGUCCGCCGAGAUAUGGAAGACCCUCUCCACCCAAUACUCAAGCAAGGGUAAUUUCAUGCUAAUCACUCAGAUUGAGGGAAAGAUCAGUCGGUUGCGCCAAGGUGACGACAUGUCCGUGAUGGUCUAUGUGGCAGAGCUGCAGGCUUUGUGGGCGGAGCAGGAUAAUUGUGAUCCUUUGGAACUCUAUGAUGCGGCUUGCAUCGAGUCAGGGCGCAAGUGGAUUGCACGCAGGCGUGUGCUGAAACUGUUGGAAGGGUACAGUGGUUGCUUUCAUGGAAGGGGGGCAUCCUUGUUGCACCAACCUCUCCUGCCAACUAUCUAUUGAGGAGACUAUUGCACCAAUGUCUCGAGAGGAGGUGAGGCUAUCUCUUGAGCAUGCAGACGUGAAGGUUGCACCGACUUUGACAUUUGCAGUCACUAAGCGCAUGGAGUGGGAAGAUCCCAACAAAUGUCAUAUAUGUAGGGAGGUAGGUCACUGGAAGAGGGAAUGUCCAACUCGUGGCAGAGGCAGGGGAUAUAACAGAGGAGGAACUAGCAGAGGCAGGGGAUACAACAAAGGAGGAACUGGCAGAGGCAGGGGAUACAACAGAGGCAGGAACUGGCAGAGGCAGGAACUGGCAGAGGCAGGAACUGGCAGAGGCAGGCAGGCUAGAGGCGGAGGUGGAUAUAUAGGGACCUCAGGGGGUCAACCUUCUUGGAGCAGAGGUGGUCACUCAGGAAACCCAGGGGCCAGAGGGCACAUAUGGUAGUUGAAGGAGACACUGUGAAAUCAAAGGGCGAGGCGGUUGAUGAGUCUACCUAUGGAGACUUUGCUCACUGGGCCUCCAUUGAUGAAGGUAAUCCGACAAAGGCAUCUGUUACUCCUAAUAUGGAUGCUCCAGAGUGGGUCCUAGACUCUGGAGGAUCUAAGCAUGUUGCGGGUAAUUCCUGUGUGUUUGAGUCUUACAAUAAGCAUCCUCCUACUCACAAGGGCACUAUUCAAACUGCUGAUGGUACAAAUCAGCCUGUCAUAGGGGUUGGCACAGUCAAAUGCACUGCUAUCGUCAGUUUUAUAUGUGCCAGCUUUUCCUGUCAAUUUGGUCUCUUUCAGUGCUCUCAUUGAUCAAAUAGAUUGUCCUGUGAUCCUUGACAAGUUCGGUUGCUUGAUUCAGGAGCGCCAGACAAGCCAGAUGGUUGGGACUGGCACCAGGCGUAAGGGGCUCUGGUGCAUGGACCAGGAGGUGCAGCCGGACUUGGUGUAUGCUGCGACCAUGGAGGACAAGGAGAAGCAGGCGAUGAUCCAUCACUGCAGGAUGGGGCAUGUAUCUUUUGAUAAGAUGAGUAGAAUAUUUCCGGAUGUUAUGUGUGCAAUAGGCAAGGGCAAGUUGACAUGUGAUGCUUGCAAAUAUGCAAAACACACACGAGCCUCAUAUGUGAGUAAGGGGCUUAGGAGCAUAUCUCCCUUUAUGCUUAUUCAUUCGGAUGUAUGGACUAGCCCAGUAGUGUCAAUGAAUGGAAAGAAGUAUUUUGUUACCUUCAUCGACUGCUAUUCUCGUAUGACUUGGAUUUACUUGAUGUGUCACAAAGAUGAGGUGUUUAGUUGUUUUCAAAACUUCCAUGCUCUUGUAAAGAACCAGUUUCAGGUGCAGGUCAAGGUGCUUAGGACUGACAAUGGCACAGAGUAUGUCAACAACAUUUUUGGGGCUUUCAUGGCUGGCCAAGGGAUUCUUCAUCAAACUUCAUGUGCGGAGGUUGCUCGGUCGUUGAUGUUUACCAUGAAUGUGCCAAAGUUCUUGUGGGAUGAAGCAGUUGUGGCAGCUACAUACCUGAUCAACCGUACACCUUCCAGGAUACUAGGCAUGAAAUCUCCGGCUGAGUUGCUCGCUGGAGAUAAUAAGUUUGUUGUCCCCCCAAAGCUGUUUGGCAGUACCUGUUUUGUUCAUGAUCACCGACCAUCUGUUGGCAAACUUGAUCCUCGAGCAGUGAAGUGUAUCUUUUCUGGGAUACUCUUCUAGUCAGCAUGGGUAUAAAUGUUGGUGUCCCUCUGAAAAACGCAGGUUUGUAAGUAUGGAUGUUACCUUCAGGGAGUCUGAGCCAUUCUAUGGCGAGCCGACUGAUCUCAGUCUGUUGUUUGCAGAGCUUGACCACCUACACCCUAUGCAUGAUGGUCAAGAGGGGGAGAAGGAGGUGUCCCAUACUCACAGUGAUUCUGUCGGCAUUAACACUGAUAAUGAUGUGUAGGUUCAGGUCCAACCAAUAGUGGGUACAAUUUUGGUUAGUACUCUCACUAAUGAUGAUGUGCACGUUCAUGUCGAACCAAGUGUCGGUACACUUAAGAUUGGUGCUCUCCAGGUUCCUGUUCGAGAUCGAUGGCAGAUAAAUACCUUGGUGUACUCUCGACGGCAACCACAAGUGCAGGGGAGCAGCAAGGUAGUGAGGCAAGAGUACAUAGGGAGCAGCAAGGCAGUGAGGCAACAGUACAGGGGGAGCAGCAAGACAGUGGGGCAAGCUCAUCUGACACGGUGGAGUUGCCCAUUGCGUUGCGAAAGGCUACACGUGAAGCAACAAGGAAGGGUGAAGUAGCAAGGAAGACUCUACCAAAGGAUGAUGCUUGUGAUGACCUUGAUAUUGGCAAUUUUGUGUCUUAUAAGGAUUUGUCACCUUCAUAUAAGGCGUUUGUUGCAUCCCUUCAAACUGUGUCAAUCCCAAAGGAUUGGAAGGCUGCAAAGCAAGAUCCGAAGUGGCGCAAAGCGAUGAUAGAAGAGUUGGAAGCACUGAGGAAAAACAAGACAUGGGUGCUAACCACAUUGUCGGCAGAAAAGAAAGCAGUGAGUUGUAAGUGGAUCUAUACAGUGAAGCAGAAUCCUGAGGGUAAGGUGGAACGGUAUAAGGCCAGAUUGGUCGCCGGAGGAUAUAGUCAAACUUAUGGAAUUGACUAUGAUGAGACAUUUGCGUCCGUGGCAAAGAUGAACACGGUUAGGAUAUUGGUCUCUUGUGCUGCAAACUUUGGGUGGAAGUUGCAUCAAUUAGAUGUCAAGAAUGCCUUCUUAUAUGGUGAGUUGCAGGAAGAAGUGUACAUGGAGAUACCGCCAGGUUUUGGUACUUCAAAGACCACGGGGAAGGUAUGUAGGCUGAAGAAAUCCUUGUAUGGAGUGAAGCAAUCACCGCAGGCAUGGUUUGAUAGGUUCAGACGUGCUAUCCGUGGUAUGGGGUAUGGUCAGUGUAACGGUGACCACACGAUGUUCUACAAACGCUCUGAUCGGAAAAUCACCACUUUUGCUGUUUAUGUAGAUGACAUUACUAUCACUGGAGAUGAUAAGGAGGAAAUACAGAGAUUAAAGGGUUGUUUGAGCAAGGAGUUUGAGGUAAAGGAUCUAGGCAACCUAAAAUAUUUCCUUGGCAUUGAAGUGGCUCGGACAGAGAAGGGAAUCUCUAUGUGCCAACGAAAAUAUACCUUGGAUCUCUUGAGUGACAUGGGCAUGAUGGGACGUCAUGUUGCCCCUACUCCGAUUGAACAAAAUCAUCAAGUGACAGCACAAUCAAGAGAUCUAGUGAAUAAGGAAGAUUAUCAGAAAUUGGUUGGGAGAUUAUUGUACUUGUGUCAUGCCAAGCCUGACAUUACGUAUGUUGUGGGGGUGGUAAGCAGAUACAUGCAUGAACCAAGGAGUGGGCACCUUGAUAUCCUGCACAGAAUCCUGAGAUACUUGAAGGGGACUCCGGGUAAAGGGUUGUGGUUUGGGAAGAGUGAACACCUUGAGGUGGAUGGCUAUAGUGACUCUGAUUGGGCUAGUUGUCAAGAUGAUAGAAGAUCAACUUCUGGCUACUGUGUGUUUGUGGGAAGAAAUUUGGUGUCAUGAAGCAAGAAACAACCUGUUGUAUCUAGAUCAACAGCAGAAGCUGAGUAUAGAGCUUUAUCUCAAGGGUUGUGUGAGAUGCUCUAGGUGAAGUACGUACUGAGCGAGUUGAAACUUCUAAGGAAGGGGCCCUUGAAGGUGUGGUGUGACAAUCAAUCCGCUAUAGCCAUUGCUAAUAAUCCGGUUCAACAUGACAGGACAAAACAUGUGGAAAUCGAUCGCUUCUUCAUUAAAGAGAAACUUGAUGUUGGGAUCAUCGGUCUUACUCAUGUCAGCUCUGGGCAGCAGUUUGCAAAUUGCUUAACAAAGGGACUGGGAACAAAGGAUUGUAACUUGGCAUGUGACAAGAUGGGAAUGCUAGAUAUCUACCACCCAUCUUGAGGGGGAGUGUUGAACCAUUAUGGGCUGUCUGGCCCAUCUCACUUAAGCCCACAAGGCCCAGCUCUUGAGAAGACCUAGAAGGUGGAGCUCCCAGUCCCUCCCGUGAGAGCCAGCCGCCACAGCAGCCACAACACCACACGGGAGCAACCAGGAAAAGCUUGUCCCAUUGCAAGGUAGUCCUCCCCCCUUCCCGUUCUACAAUUCUUGGGUCGCAAUAUUCACCACACGUGUGGCACAUUGGACACCCGACCACACGAUCCUGUGUGGCAUAUCCAAGAGGCAGCCCACACGAUCCUGUGUGGGCAAAGAUUAGAACUGCCCACACGUCCGGGCGCAGCUACUUCGUGCCACACGCCCAACAACAAUUACUCAUCCCCACCCCGUAUGUGUGGCACGAAGCAAUUCUACCCUGACAUUUUUUUAUGGCAACUUCUCUGUUUUCGUUAACUAUAGUUGUCAUGUCUAACUAAUGGUAGUUGCCACGGAUGAUCAAAUCAUAGUUGUCAUGUAUGGUCAACCAUAGUUGCCACGUGUGGUCAAACCAUAGUUGUCAUGUCUGGUCAACCAUAGUUGCCAUGUGUGAUUAACUAGUUGUCACGUGUGGUCCAACUAUAGUUGCCAUGUAUGGUCAACCAUAGUUGCCAUGUGUGAUUAACUAGUUGCCACAUAUGCAUAGUUGUAGUUGCCAUCUAUCACCGUACGAGCGUUGUGUGGGCGAAGAGCAGUUCACCCACAUGACGUGGACUGGAUGGUGUCCGUAUGGGCGAGGACCGGUUCACCCACACGGCGAAGCUGGCAACCGCAUGCUGCAGGUCGUGCAAGGCCGUGUGGGCGAGGCUCUAACCCCCACACUGCACACUACGCCUACGUGGCACUCCAAUUCCGUUAGAAAUCGUCAAGAUUCGUGCAAACCAGACCAGACGAAGAUUAAGGCGUGUGGACGAAAUGUAGAGAUGACACAUGUGUGGCCGUUAUCAUUUGGGUUAUUCUUUCUUCCAAAUUUCGAUAGUCUGUCACAAAUUGAUUUGUGGGAACGCAAUCUGUAUGGGAAGAUUAUAUUAGGAUCAAUAUGGGAGCACUUGGGCGGGAGGCCCUAGGUGCAGAUGUUAUGUGUGAGGAGCUGAGGGGCAGAGAAAGAUGGGAUGUCUUCUAAUUCUUUGCUUGAUUAAAUCUCAUGGUGGCUACCUCAUAUAUAUAGAGGGUCUGCCUUAAAAACCGACUCCGAGUCUCUGACUCCAUGUCUAAUACGAACUAACCUAUGGCCUAUUCUAUAUGAAUUAACCUGUAGCUUUCCUAUCAAUGGUAAUUCUACUCAAGGACUCUGCUUGCAGUAGCAAUCCUCCCAUCAAUAGGAAUUCUUCAUGUUGAUGUGUUCUCCUAAUCUGGAGGAUUAGCAGGAGCGGAUUUGUCUUGUAUUGGUGUUAUCUCUAAACUAGACUGCGGGGGUGCCGAGCGGUGACCACAACGACUAUAUGUUAACAUAGUCAAAAUUAGUGUUCAAGUUUGUGUAUUCAACACCUUGGAGCUCGUGAACUAUGGCAGACUGCUCAUCCACCAGCACUGCAGGUAGUGCUGGCAUGUUGGCUUAUGUGUUAACUGGUAUUGGUGUUAUCUCUAAACUAGACUGCGGGGGUGCCGAGCGGCGGACCACAACGACUAUAUGUCUGCCCCCACAUAACAUAGUCAAAAUUAGUGUUCAAGUUUGUGUAUUCAACACCUUCGAGCUCGUGAACUAUGGCAGACUGCUCAUCCACCAGCACUGCAGGUAGUGCUGGCAUGUUGGCUUAUGUGUUAACUGGUAAGGGUUGGAUUUUCUAAAAUGAUCUGACCAGCAAACCUUCCCAAAUUACUAAUCUAACUGGCCCCUUACAUCUAUGACCCAAUAAUUGGUAGCACUGCCACUACCUUACGUGGGCUGCAGGCUAUAAUUUGGCAGGGUAAUUAACUAAAUAUAGAACCUUGCCGAUGUGCUCUGGAUGAGAAUUUUCCACCAAUUAAUAUCACCAAAAUUCAGUUCAAGCUCCAAAAGGUUGAGUCAAUAUGAAAUUUAGUCACCAUUUAAGCCCAUGUUUUAGCAAGCUUCGCAGAUCAAACCAUCAAGAAGCAAACCAGGCAAAAGUUUUGAAAUAACAAUCAAUUAAAUAUUUCAGCGGACCACAACUGGUAUUAAAAGAAUGACAAAAGCAAACAAAGAGUACCAUCUCAAGAUUCAAAACAGGAUCCUUACCAUUACAGUCCAUCUCUUUUGGGUCUACACAAACUUUAUCCCGGAAAAAUCUUGUCAGUGUUUGAACUACUUCCCCAUACUUUGAGUAGCACUGCAGGGAAAAUAUUAGUAGAGAUAUCUCAAAGAGGCAGGAUAAAAUCAAUAAGAAUACCUUUAUACAAAAGGAAAAUAUUAGUAGAGAUAUCUCAAAGAGGCAGGACAAAAUCAACAAGCAUACCUUUAUAUAAGGUUUGAGCCAAUAGGACAUCUGGGAUUGGUAAUUUGGCCACACAAACCUGCAAAUCAUGUGCAGUGUCAAGAAACUCACUUAAUUCAAGGAUUAUUGAAAGUGUCUUCUUAUGCUAGGUGGAUUGUCUCCUUCAAAAGGGACAGUUGGCUCAUUUCUCAUUGACUGGUUAAGCUCCUUAACAAUGUAAGGGCUAGGGUUGCUGUAGAGGUUUCCCCUACUGUUUCCUCAUAAAAAAUGUAUACUUACAGAAAAGCCAUCUGGAAUGCUAAAACAGCAGAAAUGUAGAACAGGGGAAACGCACAAAGCAAAGGUGGAACACUGAAAACACUUUAUUGUGGUGUUAUCCCGUUGGGAGGUUUAGCAGAAAACUAUGCAUAUACUCCUUGCAGGGAACAUAUAACUGGAUUUAGACCUUUCGUCACAGUAAAUAAUUGCUCCAUAGUCAUGGCGAUGUCUGAUGACACGUCCAACAGCCUGAUUGACAGCCCUUGCUGCUUGUUGCACAUACCACUCCUCUCCUGUCAAAGCCUACAAAAUGUUUAAAAUUCAUUUUAAAUUCCAAGUAUGAAAGCAGAGGGAUGAAAUUACUUACAACAACAAAAACAACAACAAUAACUAAUCCUUUAGUGCCAAACAAGUUGGGGUAGACUAGAGCUCAUGGUCCUGGCGCGUGGAUAGCUAACUUCCACGCACCCCUCUCCAUGGCUAGUUCUUUGAUGAUAUUCCUGUCCUUCAUAUCUCUCUUUACAGACUCCUCCCAUGUUGAGGCGUUGUAUAUGCCCAAACCAUCUCAGACAAUGUUGGACAAGUUUCUCUUCAAUCGGUGCUACCCCAACUCUUACGUAUAUCAUCAUUCCGGACCCGAUGCUUUCUUGUGUGGCCACACAUCCAUUUGAAAAUCGCAUCUCCGCUGCACCUAACUGUUGAACAUGACGCCUUUUAGUCAGCCAACACGUCAUACAACAUUACUGUUCGAAUCGCCGUCCUAUAGAACCUGCCUUUUAGAUUUUGUGGCACUCUAGUCACAAAGAAAGCUUUGUGUCACUUCAUCCAUUCGGCUUUGAUUCGAUGGCUAACAUCUUCAUCGAUAUCACCAUCCUUCUGCAACAUUGACCCUAAAUAUCGAAAGGUUCCUGAGAUACCAUCUGCCCAUCAAGGCUAACCUCCGCCUCCUCGUGCCUAGUAGUAUUGAAACCAUACCUCAUGUCUAAAGCCUUUCAAUUCAAAAAUUUGUCUCCUUAGCUCUAACUUUCUAUUAACCCCAUACGACUAUCAUCGACCAUGAGAUACCUCCUUGUAUAUACCUUGUGACCUCAUCCAUCACCAAAGCAAAAAAGAUAAGGGCUCAAAGCUGACCCUUGGUGCAGUCCUAUUUUAAUUGGGAAGUCAUCAAUGUCGCCAUCACUUGUUCAAACACUUUUCACCACAUUAUCGUACAUGUCCUCGACGAGGGUAAUGUACUUUGUUGGGACUUUGUGCUUCUCCCAGGCCCAUCACAUGACAUUCCGCGGUACUUAUCAUAAGACUUCUCCAAGUCAAUGAACACCAUACGAAGGUCCAUUUUUUCCUCCCUGUAUCUCUCCAUAAGUUGACGUGCCAAGAAAAUAGCUUCCAUGGUCGACCUCCCAGGCAUGAAACCAAACUGAUUUUUUGUCACGCUUGUCAUUUUUCUUAAGAGGUGCUCAAUAACUCUCACAUAACUUCAUUGUAUGUCUCAUAAACGUAAUUCCACGGUAAUUAGUACAACUUUGAACACCCCCUUGUUCUUGGAAGAUUGGCACUAAUAUACUCUAUCUUCCGUUCUUCUGGCAUCUUGCUUGCCCGAAAAAUGAGGUUGGAAAGCUUAGCUAGACAUACUAUCGCUAUGUCUCCAAGGCCAGACCUCUCCACACCUCAAUGGGGAUACAAUCAGGGCCCAUCGCCUUGCCUCCUUUCAUCCUUUUUAAAGCUUCCCUGACCUCAUACUCCUGGAUUCGUCGCACAAAAACGCAUGUCGGUACCAUCAAAGGAGUCGUGCAACUCAAUGGUAGAGCUCCCAUUGUCCAUUGAACAGCUUGUCGAAGUACUCCGGCCAUCUAUGCUUCAUCUCCUCAUCCUUCACGAGGAGUUGAUCUGCUCUGUCUUUGAUGCAUUUGACUUGGUUGACAUUCCUCGUCUUCCUCUCUUGGGUCUUGACCACCGUAUAGAUGUCCCUUUCGCCUUUCUUCAUUUCUAAGUGCCGGUAGAGGUCCUCUUACGCCUGAUCCCUUGCUUCACUCACAGCUCGCUUUGCGGCAUUCUUUGCCACCUUGUACUUACAUAUGUUGCUUGCACUCGUAUCCAUGUGUAGGCGUCUAAAACAGUCUUUCUUUUCCUUAAUAACCUUCUGGACAUCAUCGUUCCACCACCAUGCGUCUUUAGCUUUGCUUCUACUUCCCUUAGUCACUCCAAACUCCUGUGAAGCCACCUUACGAAUGCAAGUCGCCAUCUUCAUCCACAUAUUGUUCGCAUCUUACGAAUGCAAGUCGCCAUCUUCAUCCACAUAUUGUUCGCAUCACCUCCUUCCUCCCAACGGCCCUUCUUAAUGACCCUCUCCUUGAAAGCUUGAGUCCCCCCCCCCCCGAGCUUCCACCACUUUGUUCCAGUGACUUUGGCGCGUUUAUCCCGCUCGACACGAAUCGGGAAGAGGAAGUCGGCCACCACAAGCCUACGUUGAGGGACAACACUCUCUCCAGGUAUCACUUUACAAUCUAGGUAAGCACGCGAGGACGAAAUCGAUCUUGCUGGAGUGUCAACCACUACUAUAAGUUACUAGAUGUGAUUCUCUCUUUUAAAGAGGAUGUUAGCUAUGAUCAUGUCGUAGGCUAGAGCUAAGCUUAAGACAUCUUCUCCUUAAUUCCUGAUGCCUUAGCCAAACCCACAUGCACCCCUACAAAACCUGUGUUAAAUGUACCCACUUAGCCAUUGAGGUCUCGUCUUAUUAAGAGCUUCUCGCCAAUAGGUAGACCCCUAACCUUGUCUUCACUCCAAACCUUGUGGCCUACUUGCGGGGCAUACGCUCUGAUAACAUCAAGAACUAGUCCCCAACUACCAGCUUGACGGGGAUGGACUUACAUUGAAUGCAUAAAGUACAUUUGCUCCAAGUUCCCGAUAUAACCACAUCUAAUUGAUUAAAGGAACAACAAUAUGACUAAGGAACUUUUUCGGGGGAGUUUUAUUUUUUAAAGCAAGACGGCCUAAAUGGCACUCAGACUAUUGAUCAUGUAUAAGAUCAGGAAGAUUGGUAACUUUUACCACAAAUUUAUUUGAAAGGUUCUCUAUCAAAGAAAAUAUUGUUGGAAGCCCGUUAAACUCCACUUGUCCAUGACAAGACAUCGGAAAUGCUGAAAAUGAACUUGUGCAAGCCCUUGGAUAUUCUCAUGGAUGUGAAGUGCCUAAAACCUGUAGAGGGUAAUGUUGGAUGCGGUCAUUUUACCCCAAAAGCAAGUAGUUUGAGGUACCUUCUUGAGCCAGCCAUGCUGCCAUGGUGGUAUUUGUCAAGGAUUCAAGUUCCUCGACCAUUGCUUGAUUCGAAGAAGACGGGCCUCCCAUGCUUUAGAGCUUGUAGAGAUUCAUAAUCAAGGAUGAACUUCAUCGGCAAUGCAAUGUUGCGUGUUGUAAUCACUCUCUAGGGAACUCAUGUUGGCACAUGCUGCAUAGAGCAGGUGGAGAUUCAAAUCCAGAUUUCGGGCUUCACAUCAUCUUGUGCAUCAGCCAAACUAACGCUCCCCCCCCCCMCACACACACACAAAAACACAAUUCGUCUAGAUAUAAUUUUCAGGAUGUUAUAUGGUUUCUGGUGUUUGCGCAACAUAAUUGUUUUGCUUUCAAUGUGUGCUGAUCUUACACCUUUGGGCGCACACGCGUGGGGGGUGGGGGUCUAAGGGAGGACAUUUUGAUAACGUCGACAUGGGCCUUGGUUCCACUAACUUCUACGGUGACAAUGCAUGUUUAUCAUUACUUUGACAGUGAUAAAAUUGCAUUUUUAGAUCAUUUUGACUAUCUAUAAUCUUGAGAGGUACACUUCUGACUUUGCCAACWUAUCCACCUUUCCCAAUCACACGUCAAGCAUCUUCCAUGCAAAGGCCCCUACUUCCUCCCACCUUGGAAUGUACUCCCGAUCCCUGUAGCAUGGUAAGAAAAAUACAUGCAACACAUACAUCCUCCCGUGUUUUUUGGAUCCCUGCAACACGAUUAAGGCACAAAAAACGCGCAGGGGGAGGGGGCGGGGGCAGGGGGACGGAUAGACGCUAGUCUUGAUUCGGUUGUGCGCCUCCCUCCCAGUGGAAGAAGUCGGCGAGCGCCAUCCUGCAGUUGGUCGUGCCGUCAAAGGUGAAUUCCAGGUCGUUGUGUCAUUCGGUUAGGUGCAAAUUUCGAGAUAAUCCCAUCCUAAUGUGUCGUUGAUAUUGUUCUUACUUCUUGGGGAUUGUAGGAUGGGAGGGCAAUUUCACGUGGGGGAGGAGCACGAGCAGGAAGGUAACCCUACUCGGCGUGUUUUAUGUAGUUUUUUCAGAGCUGUUGGGCGAAUUUUGUUUGGAGUUUUGUGAUCUGAUUUUGUGUGUGGUUGUAUUGGGAUGUACAUUACUUACACAUGUGACAUUCUCGAGCGUGACACUAUGUGUGUCCAUUUUGUGUUGUAUGGUAGUUAGCUAUCAGCAUAUCAAUACUUUGGAUUGUUUGAUUGGCUUGUUCAUCUUAAGCUCUUUCUUUGCAAUGUACACGUGCUAAUUGAAUAUAUUUAAAUUCGAGUACUCACACCAUUUACCUCUAUCUCUACUUACUUACAUAUAUGUCCGCCAAUCGGUGAACUUAGUAAAAUGUACCAGAACAAAAUAAUAUUUCCAGUUAAGUCACGGUGAUUCAAUGCUUCAAAGAAACCAGUUACAUAAGAUUUUUUUUUCUUUUUCAGAAAAUGUAUAAUCUUCAUAAAUUUCCUUUCAACUCUGAGGUCUGAGUGGUGAGAAGAUGUUUUGGUUCCUACACUAGGUGACUUCGGCAUUUUCUUCUUUACGCAUUCCCAUGGAGUUUUAUGCACUUAGAGCAUCUCUAGCCGCGCCCCCAACAGGCCCUCCCCAGGCCAUUUUUUCCCGCCAGCGAGGGAAAAACGGCCCAGUCGUGCCCCCAGGAGCCGUUUUUUCGCCGGUUAGGGCCGAAAUUGGCCUCGACGGUCCCAGCCCGAACCCAACGCGCUGGGGACGCAGGCGGAAGGAAAAACGACGUGUCAGGCCCUUGUCAGGCGAAAAUAGGUAUUUUUCUUCUCCGGAACCACCCCUCACGCACCACACCUUUCGCCACCGUGCCGAUUCCGGCGCCGCCCACCUGCCUACCGCCGCUACAAAGGCCAUCUCCCCGUCGACGGAUGUAGGGUUCGCCGCGGCUUCGCGCCCCUCCCCCGCCCCCCGCUUCUUGGCGAGUUCUCCCGGCGCUCCGAGCACGUACGCGGCCGCGCAUCCGCCACACCCGCCAGGUGUUCGAAGAUUUGCCUGGGUGAUGGACUCCGACGACAAGGAGACGUUCGCGGCGCUACUAGAGGAGGAAGCCGAUGCCGACGCCCAGGAUGAAGAACACCUCGUGGUCCUCACCUCUCUGGCCGGCCUAUUCGCGAGCAAUGCAAAGCCACGGUGAGGUGACUCGGCGUCGGGUCGGCUAAAGGCAAAGCAGAGGCAUCGACUAGAAGGCUAUUGCUUGCUCUAUGCCGACUACUUCGCAUACGCUCCUCUACGCGGCGAUAAAGUAUUCCAGCGCCAUUAUCGUAUGAACCGGAAACUCUUCCUCAGGAUUGUGAAUUCCAUCAGAGAGUUUGACAGCUACUUCAAGUGCAAAAAGGAUUGCACCGGCACACUUGGAUUCACCUUGCUCCAUUAGUGCACGACAGCUAUGAGGAUGUUUCUAUACGGAGCUCCCAGUGAUAUUCUGAAAGACUAUGGACGCAUGGCCGAGUCCACCACCAUUGAGUGUUUCUACAAGUUCUGCAGGGCAGUGGUGGCAGUUUUUGGACCUCAAUAUUUGCGAUCACCCAAUGCUGAAGAAACUGCUCGGAUCCUAGCACAAAAUGCAAAAAGAGGAUUUCCUGGGAUGCUUGGAAGUAUCGACUGCAUGCAUUGGAAAUGGAAAAAUUGUUCAUUUGCUUGACAAGGGAUGUACAAAGGCGCCAAAGGAGGUUGUAGUGUGGUACUUGAGGCAGUGGCCACACAUGACCUCUGGAUUUGGCACUCCUUUGGUAUGCCAGGAACUCACAAUGAUAUCAACGUAUUGCAGUGCUCGAAUGUCUUUGCCAAGCUUGUUGAAGGUCAUGCUCCUCCGGUUAACUACGAGGUCAAUGGGCACCACUACAACAAGGGAUACUACCUAGCAGAUGGCAUCUAUCCGAGAUGGUCCACAUUUGUGAAAACUAUCUCAAAUUCUGCACCAGGAGGCAAGCACUCCUAUUUUGCCAAGCGUCAAGAAGCUUGCAGGAAGGAUGUCGAGCGGGCAUUUGGUGUGCUUCAAUCUCGUUUUGUUGUUGUCCGGUAACCCGCUCAGACCUGAUCGAAAGAUCAAAUGUGGAAAGUCAUGACUUGCUUAGUUGUCUUGCACAACAUGAUCAUUGAGAGCGAGCAGGAGGAGCCAGUGUUUGAUACUGAACCAUAUUACAGGCAAGGUCCUCUUGCCCAAGUUGAUCACCAGCUACCGGCAACCUGGACUGCCUUCCUCAACAUGCAUUAGGAGAUCCGAGACCCACAGGUGCAUCAACAACUGCAACACAAUUAGGUGGAGCACCUAUGAAGGCUGAAGGGCAACGCCUAGCUCGAUUUUUUAUUUGUACUGACUUGUUAAACUAUUUUUUGAUUUGUAUUGAUUUCUGUGAUGAAUUAUGUGAUAAAAAUAACUAUUGUUGUUCAAUUUGUGCUGAAGAAUGCCGAAUAUGGGCCAAAAGUGGGCCAAGUUUGCGCCGAAACUGGGCCGAAAGCGGCGGCUGGAGGGCGCCCUUGGGUGGGCGGCUGGAAACCCGACCCCCCCCCCCCCCUGCCGUUUUUAGCACCGGCGAAUCCCCAGGCGGCGCUAUUUCAGGCCCCGGGGGGCGAAUGGCUGGACAUGCUCUUAACAAUCAAACAACGCUCGUCUACUUCCAUACACCAAGUUUGGAGUGGUCUGAGUUAAAUGCUCACAGCAAGCGCAACACAACUCUUCUCAAAUAGAAAAUUCAAAAUUUAGUACAGAAAAUAUUAACCUUUGGGUUUUUAUUAGAUGGUUUAGCCUGCUUAUCCAAAUACUCACGCUUGAGCCGGAC